RNAcentral lists this long non-coding RNA (347 nucleotides) under Dermacentor andersoni. RNAcentral describes it as "uncharacterized LOC126532394". The record is from RNAcentral. Lineage: Eukaryota; Metazoa; Arthropoda; Arachnida; Ixodida; Ixodidae.
CAAAUUUCUCCCACUUCCUGCAGUUUUACAUUGAUUCUGAGCCUUUAAUGGGUAAACGGCUGAUUUUCAUCGACCAACUGAACCGGGUGAGCAUCACGACGGACAACGGGUACGUUUUCGAAGGCCACUACACGGCUGAGGAUCCAUCUGGCCCUUUCGACCUGAGGGGUUUCGAAACGUCGGCCACGCCGAAGCUCGCCCCUGGUGCUUACAUUGAAAUCACUGGAAUCGCAGAUGGAGGCCCCGAGUGACGAGUUCAAACCUGUAAAAAUAUAAAUGUGUUGGUCCCCGUACCGAAGAAUGCCAAAUUUAUUUCAUUGGUUACGGAAAGAACCACAAUAAACACA